CGGGGCUAAUGCCGGAUAACAUGUUGAACCGCAUGGUUCUACAGUGAAAGACGGUCUUGCUGUCACUUAUAGAUGGACCCGCGCCGUAUUAGCUCGUUGGUGGGGUAACGGCCUACCAAGGCGACGAUACGUAGCCGACCUGAGAGGGUGAUCGGCCACACUGGAACUGAGACCCGGUCCAGACUCCUACGGGAGGCAGCAGUAGGGAAUCUUCCGCAAUGGGCGAAAGCCUGACGGAGCAACGCCGCGUGAGUGAUGAAGGUCUUCG
RNAcentral lists this ribosomal RNA (268 nucleotides) under Staphylococcus pseudintermedius. Its description in RNAcentral is "partial 16S ribosomal RNA". It matches the Rfam family "Bacterial small subunit ribosomal RNA", at positions 158 to 420 of the family's 1533-position model. The record is from RNAcentral. Lineage: Bacteria; Bacillati; Bacillota; Bacilli; Caryophanales; Staphylococcaceae.